UUUCCAUCUCUCUCUCCUCUUUCCCCAUCUUCCUCUCUUUCUUUCUCUUGUUUCAAAUGAACCGGACUCCUUUCUUCUCCAACUUCUCAAAUCAGCCACAAAUCCCACGCCACCCCACCCCACCCACCAACCACCGAACCACCGAACCUACCCACCGAACCUUCCUCUCUUUCUUUCUCAAAUCAGCCCCAAAUCCCACGCGACCCCAUCAAACCCAUCAACCACCAACCACCAAACCAUCAAACACCCCGCAAAUCACCAACCACCAAGUCGCCGCCGUUCAAGGCUACGCAAAUCGAAAACCUUGUCUUUUGUUAUUGGGGAUUUAUUUGUUUUAAUUUGUGAUUUGUUUUGAUUUUGGGAAUUCCGUUUUUUGUUAGUAUUAUUUGGGGAUUUUGGGGAUGUAGAUCUGAAUUGUGGUUCCAUGUGUUUGAUUUUGCAGGUGGUGGAAGUUGUUGCUACCGCUACCGUUGCCGCUGCCUUCUUCGCCGUACGAACUAUUGGGUGCGGACCUAGUAGUUUGUGUAUAAAUUAAAGUAUCUUAUUCACGGGCUACCCAGUUAUUGGACAUCAAAAUAAGAUGCAGGCUUCCGCAAGUUGUCUAAAUAAAAAUAAUAUUGUUGAUGGUUAUUGUGGAUGGGAUCCAAGAAUAAAUGGUCAUUCUUUUACUAGCAAUGGCUUUACUUUGCCUUUAAACAAGGUAACAAGCUUCAUUCAAUACCUAAAAAAAUUGGUUGAUAUGGACCCUUCAUCCUUUUGUGGCAUUGAAUUUCACUUGGGUAUCCUAAUGAGGUAUGUCAAGGUUUCCUCGGCUUAUCUUGGAAAAGACGAGGAUGGAGUAGACUUUGAUAUUGCCUAUUAUAUAUCGACCUAAAGAAGAGUUGGGGCCUCGGCUCAAUGAGGACAUAAUGGAAGAAAUCGAGCAAUUAGCAAUUUUUAAGUAUGGUGGCGUGCCACACUGGGGUAAAAAAACGCAAUGUAGCGUUUGAAGGUGUGAUUAUAUUAGUAAGUAUAAGGAUGGAGAAAAGUUUUUAAGGGUUAAGGAAAGGUAUGAUCCUUUGGGAUUGUUUUCAAGUGAAUGGACUGAUCAAGUUUUAGGAUUAAAAGAGGGAAUAAUCAUAAAUAAAACAGGUUGUGCACUUGAAGGAUUGUGUAGAUGUAACACAUACAAUGAUUGUGGGACGGGGUACACUUGUGAAAGUGGUAAAGUUUAUGACGAGGCUAAAGUUUGCAAGAAGAAGAGAAGCAACCUUAUUUUUGAUUAUUGCUUGAUUGGAUGAUUAUCAAUAAGGCAAAAUUUAAUGGAUGUGAAGUUUGUAAUUAUAAUAUCAAUGUGACUAAUACUAGAUGGAUGUUGUAUUUUUUUAUUUAUUUAAAUUUAAAAAUAUGUUUGUAAUGAUUUGUAAGACUAAGUACAAGUCAAUGUAUAUGUAAAUUGGUGUUAAUCCACGACCGAUGAUGUAUAUGUAUGUUAUUAUCCAUGCUUGCUCCUGUAUAUAUAGAUGAUUGUUUUUCCUGGA
Molecule: long non-coding RNA, 1520 nt
Organism: Chenopodium quinoa (quinoa)
Lineage: Eukaryota; Viridiplantae; Streptophyta; Magnoliopsida; Caryophyllales; Amaranthaceae
Exons: 2
Source: RefSeq, a predicted model, not a curated record